AGUAAUGUAUGGGGAUCUGCCCGAUAAAGGGGAAUAACUACUGGAAACGGUGGCUAAUACCGCAUAAUGUCUACGGACCAAAGCAGGGGCUCUUCGGACCUUGCACUAUCGGAUGAACCCAUAUGGGAUUAGCUAGUAGGUGGGGUAAAGGCUCACCUAGGCGACGAUCUCUAGCUGGUCUGAGAGGAUGAUCAGCCACACUGGGACUGAGACACGGCCCAG
RNAcentral lists this ribosomal RNA (222 nucleotides) under uncultured bacterium. RNAcentral's name for it is "partial 16S ribosomal RNA". It matches the Rfam family "Bacterial small subunit ribosomal RNA", at positions 109 to 334 of the family's 1533-position model. The record is from RNAcentral.